Molecule: transfer RNA, 86 nt
Filed under: Bradyrhizobium yuanmingense
Lineage: Bacteria; Pseudomonadati; Pseudomonadota; Alphaproteobacteria; Hyphomicrobiales; Nitrobacteraceae
Description: tRNA-Ala
Source: RNAcentral
GGUUCGAUCCCGUCUGGCUCCACCAGAUGGUUUGAUCACCGAGAUCUUGUACCGUCGUCCGCGAAACAUCACUUCGCAUCCUGCUA